This 482-nucleotide ribosomal RNA is filed under the name uncultured bacterium. Its description in RNAcentral is "partial 16S ribosomal RNA". It matches the Rfam family "Bacterial small subunit ribosomal RNA", at positions 30 to 507 of the family's 1533-position model. The record is from RNAcentral.
AUUGAACGCUGGCGGCAUGCUUUACACAUGCAAGUCGAACGGUAACAGGCCGCAAGGUGCUGACGAGUGGCGAACGGGCGAGUAAUGCAUCGGAACGUGCCCAGUCGUGGGGGAUAACUACUCGAAAGAGUAGCUAAUACCGCAUACGAUCUAUGGAUGAAAGCGGGGGACCGUAAGGCCUCGCGCGAUUGGAGCGGCCGAUGUCAGAUUAGGUAGUUGGUGGGGUAAAGGCUCACCAAGCCAACGAUCUGUAGCUGGUCUGAGAGGACGACCAGCCACACUGGGACUGAGACACGGCCCAGACUCCUACGGGAGGCAGCAGUGGGGAAUUUUGGACAAUGGGCGCAAGCCUGAUCCAGCAAUGCCGCGUGCAGGAAGAAGGCCUUCGGGUUGUAAACUGCUUUUGUACGGAACGAAACGGCUCUGGUUAAUACCCGGGGCUAAUGACGGUACCGUAAGAAUAAGCACCGGCUAACUACGUG